RNAcentral lists this ribosomal RNA (1337 nucleotides) under uncultured archaeon. RNAcentral describes it as "bacterial SSU rRNA". It matches the Rfam family "Archaeal small subunit ribosomal RNA". The record is from RNAcentral.
UUCCGGUUGAUCCUGCCGGAGACGACCGUUAUCAGGGUUCGACUAAGCCAUGCGUGGCGCGAGCUAUUUGGGCUCGCCAUACUGCUGAGUAACACGUAGUUAACCUGCCCUAAGGAGGGGGAUAAUCUCGCGAAAGUGAGGCUAAUACCCCAUAGUUCAUGGAUACUGGAACGUUCCAUAAACGAAACCCACGGGGCCUUAGGAUGGGACUGCGGCGUAUCAGGUAGUCGUCAGGGUAAAAACCUGACGAGCCGAUAACGCGUAGGGGCCAUGAGAGUGGAAGCCUCCAGAUGCCUUCUGAGACAUGAAGGCAGGGCCUACGGGUCGCAGCAGGCGCGAAAACUUUCCAAUGCAUUAGCGUGUGAGAGGGGAACCUUGAGUGGUGCAGCUAAGCUGCACCUUUUGCCAAGUCUAGACAGCUUGGCGAAUAAGAGGUGGGUAAGACGGGUGCCAGCCGCCGCGGUAAUACCCGCGCCUCGAAUGGUCGUCACGUUUAUUGGGUCUAGAGCGUCCGUAGCCGGCUGUGCAAGUCCUUGGUGAAAUCUGGCAGCAAACUGUCAGGCGUGCUGAGGAUACUACACGGCUUGGGAUUGGGAAAGGGCUGAGGUAUUCGGCGUGUAGGGGUUAAAUCCUUUAAUCCGCCGAGGACCACCUGUGGCGAAGGCGUCAGCCUGGAACAAGUCCGACGGUGAGGGACGAAAGCUAGGGGAGCGAUUGGGAUUAGAUACCCCAGUAGUCCUAGCUGUAAACGAUGCCCGUUUGGUGUGGCGUGUCUUACGAGGAUACGCCGUGCCGGAGCGUAGGUGUUAAACGGGCCACCUGGGGAGUACGGUCGCAAGACUGAAACUUAAGGGAAUUGGCGGGGGAGCACACAAGGGGUGGAGGCUGCGGUUCAAUUGGAUUUGACGCCGGACAUCUUACCAGCGCAGACAGCAGUAUGAAGGUCAGCCUGACGGGUUUACCAGACAAGCUGAGAGGAGUUGCAUGGCCAUCGUCAGCUCGUACCUUGAGGCGUGCGGUUAAGUCCGUUAACGAGCGAGACCCACGCUGCCAGUUGCAACCACGUCCCGACUAAGCAAUUAGAAGGUAUGUGGGCACUCUGGCAGGACCGCCUCUGCUAAAGAGGAGGAAGGAGUGGGCGACGAUAGGUCCGUAUGGCCCGAUUGCGCUGGGCUACACGCCGCCUACAAUGCGUAGGACAAUGCGAUGCAACGCCGAAAGGCGAAGCUAAUCGCCCAAACCUACGCCCAGUUCAGAUCGGGGGCUGAAACUCGCCCCCGUGAAGCCGGAAUCCCUAGUAAGCGAACGUCACUAUCGUUCGCUGAAUACGUCCCUGC